RNAcentral lists this ribosomal RNA (205 nucleotides) under uncultured bacterium. RNAcentral describes it as "partial 16S ribosomal RNA". It matches the Rfam family "Bacterial small subunit ribosomal RNA", at positions 568 to 773 of the family's 1533-position model. The record is from RNAcentral.
CGCGUAGGCGGGCAACCAAGUCUGAGGUGAAAUCCUCCAGCUUAACUGGAGAAGUGCCCGGAUACUGGUUGCCUCGAGGAUGGUAGGGGCAUCUGGAACUAGCGGUGGAGCGGUGAAAUGCGUUGAUAUCGCUAGGAACUCCGGUGGCGAAGGCGAGGUGCUGGACCAUUUCUGACGCUGAGGCGCGAAAGCCAGGGGAGCAACG